GAGAUCUUAGUUAAAGUAUAACACUACUUUGUCAAGGUAGGAUUACUAGUUAAACCCUAGUAUUUCUCU
This 69-nucleotide transfer RNA is filed under the name Limnonectes blythii (giant mountain frog). Its description in RNAcentral is "tRNA-Asp". It matches the Rfam family "tRNA". Rfam says of the family: Transfer RNA (tRNA) molecules are approximately 80 nucleotides in length. Their secondary structure includes four short double-helical elements and three loops (D, anti-codon, and T loops). Further hydrogen bonds mediate the characteristic L-shaped molecular structure. tRNAs have two regions of fundamental functional importance: the anti-codon, which is responsible for specific mRNA codon recognition, and the 3' end, to which the tRNAs corresponding amino acid is attached (by aminoacyl-tRNA synthetases). tRNAs cope with the degeneracy of the genetic code in two manners: having more than one tRNA (with a specific anti-codon) for a particular amino acid; and 'wobble' base-pairing, i.e. permitting non-standard base-pairing at the 3rd anti-codon position. The record is from RNAcentral. Lineage: Eukaryota; Metazoa; Chordata; Amphibia; Anura; Dicroglossidae.